This 72-nucleotide transfer RNA is filed under the name Malassezia cuniculi. Its description in RNAcentral is "tRNA-Ala". It matches the Rfam family "tRNA". From Rfam's summary of the family: Transfer RNA (tRNA) molecules are approximately 80 nucleotides in length. Lineage: Eukaryota; Fungi; Basidiomycota; Malasseziomycetes; Malasseziales; Malasseziaceae. The record is from RNAcentral.
GGGGAUUUAGCUCAGUGGUAGAGCGCUUGCUUAGCAUGCAUGAGGCCAUGGGUUCAAUUCCCAUAAUCUCCA